This 378-nucleotide ribosomal RNA is filed under the name uncultured bacterium. Its description in RNAcentral is "bacterial SSU rRNA". It matches the Rfam family "Bacterial small subunit ribosomal RNA", at positions 32 to 405 of the family's 1533-position model. The record is from RNAcentral.
AAUCAACGCUGGCGGCGUGCCUCAGACAUGCAAGUCGAACGAUUAAACUUUCCUUCGGGGAAGAUAUAAAGUGGCGCACGGGUGAGUAACACGUAGGUAAUGUACCUUUGGGUGGGGAAUAACUUAGGGAAACUUAAGCUAAUACCGCAUAAUGCAGCGGCUCCUUCGGGAGACAGUUGUUAAAGAUUUAUCGCCUAAAGAGCAGCCUGCGGCAGAUUAGCUAGUUGGUAAGGUAACGGCUACCAAGGCGACGAUCUGUAUCCGACCUGAGAGGGUGGUCGGACACACUGACACUGAAUAACGGGUCAGACUCCUACGGGAGGCAGCAGUCGGAAUUUGGGCAAUGGGCGAAAGCCUGACCCAGCAACGCCGCGUGAA